RNAcentral lists this ribosomal RNA (477 nucleotides) under uncultured bacterium. RNAcentral describes it as "partial 16S ribosomal RNA". It matches the Rfam family "Bacterial small subunit ribosomal RNA", at positions 28 to 523 of the family's 1533-position model. The record is from RNAcentral.
GACGAACGCUGGCGGCGUGCUUAACACAUGCAAGUCGAGCGGAAAGGCCCUUUCGGGGGUACUCGAGCGGCGAACGGGUGAGUAACACGUGAGCAACCUGCCCUUCACUCUGGGAUAAGCCUGGGAAACCGGGUCUAAUACCGGAUGCGACACGCCUCCGCAUGGGGUGCGUGUGGAAAGUUUUUUCGGUGGGGGAUGGGCUCGCGGCCUAUCAGCUUGUUGGUGGGGUAGUGGCCUACCAAGGCGACGACGGGUAGCCGGCCUGAGAGGGCGACCGGCCACACUGGGACUGAGACACGGCCCAGACUCCUACGGGAGGCAGCAGUGGGGAAUACUGCGCAAUGGGCGGAAGCCUGACGCAGCGACGCCGCGUGGGGGAUGACGGCCUUCGGGUUGUAAACCUCUUUCAGCGGGGACGAAGGUGACGUGUACCCGCAGAAGAAGCGCCGGCUAACUACGUGCCAGCCGCCGCAGUAA